RNAcentral lists this ribosomal RNA (86 nucleotides) under Janthinobacterium lividum. Its description in RNAcentral is "partial 23S ribosomal RNA". The stretch from base 1 to 71 matches the Rfam family "Bacterial large subunit ribosomal RNA", at positions 2855 to 2925 of the family's 2925-position model. RNAcentral also lists the same sequence under 1 other name. Lineage: Bacteria; Pseudomonadati; Pseudomonadota; Betaproteobacteria; Burkholderiales; Oxalobacteraceae. The record is from RNAcentral.
GAUAGGCUGGGUGUGGAAGUGCAGUAAUGCAUUAAGCUAACCAGUACUAAUUGCCCGUACGGCUUGUCCCUAUAACCUUAGCAGGU